GAUCAUGGCUCAUGAUGAACGCUGGCGGCGUGCCUAACACAUGCAAGUCGAGCGAUCUCUCGGAAGAGAGCGGCGGACGGGUGAGUAACGCGUGGGUAACCUGCCCUGUACACACGGAUAACAUACCGAAAGGUAUGCUAAUACGAGAUAAUAUGCUUUUAUCGCAUGGUAUAAGUAUCAAAGCUCCGGCGGUACAGGAUGGACCCGCGUCUGAUUAGCUAGUUGGUGAGGUAACGGCUCACCAAGGCGACGAUCAGUAGCCGACCUGAGAGGGUGAUCGGCCACAUUGGAACUGAGACACGGUCCAAACUCCUACGGGAGGCAGCAGUGGGGAAUAUUGCACAAUGGGCGAAAGCCUGACGCAAGCAACGCCGCGUGAGCGAUGAAGGCCUUCGGGUCGUAAAGCUCUGUCCUCAAGGAAGAUAAUGACGGUACUUGAGGAGGAAGCCCCGGCUAACUACGUGCCAGCCGCUGC
RNAcentral lists this ribosomal RNA (475 nucleotides) under uncultured bacterium. RNAcentral's name for it is "bacterial SSU rRNA". It matches the Rfam family "Bacterial small subunit ribosomal RNA", at positions 15 to 518 of the family's 1533-position model. The record is from RNAcentral.